UACAGAGGUCUCAAGCGUUGUUCGGAUUCAUUGGGCGUAAAGGGUGCGUAGGUGGCACGGUAAGUCGGGUGUGAAAUUUCGGAGCUUAACUCCGAAACUGCAUUCGAUACUGCCGUGCUUGAGGACUGGAGAGGAGACUGGAAUUUACGGUGUAGCAGUGAAAUGCGUAGAGAUCGUAAGGAAGACCAGUGGCGAAGGCGGGUCUCUGGACAGUUCCUGACACUGAGGCACGAAGGCCAGGGGAGCAAACGGG
RNAcentral lists this ribosomal RNA (253 nucleotides) under uncultured bacterium. RNAcentral's name for it is "partial 16S ribosomal RNA". It matches the Rfam family "Bacterial small subunit ribosomal RNA", at positions 524 to 776 of the family's 1533-position model. The record is from RNAcentral.